UGCCCGACAAGGCAAGCCAUCCGAAAGGAUGGGGCGCAAAGCUUCUGGCCUACCCCUUUUUUUCGAGAAGGCAUGGCUGCAUAGCUGCCGAA
This 92-nucleotide non-coding RNA is filed under the name Desulfosarcina cetonica. RNAcentral describes it as "c-di-GMP-I". It matches the Rfam family "c-di-GMP-I riboswitch aptamer". From Rfam's summary of the family: GEMM was predicted in a large-scale screen for bacterial structured RNA regulatory elements. Genes associated with GEMM are involved in a diverse array of functions, including chemotaxis regulation, signal transduction, secretion and chitin. Lineage: Bacteria; Pseudomonadati; Thermodesulfobacteriota; Desulfobacteria; Desulfobacterales; Desulfosarcinaceae. The record is from RNAcentral.